CCAGACUCCUACGGGAGGCAGCAGUGGGGAAUAUUGCACAAUGGGGGGAACCCUGAUGCAGCGACGCCGCGUGAGUGAAGAAGUAUUUCGGUAUGUAAAGCUCUAUCAGCAGGGAAGAUAAUGACGGUACCUGACUAAGAAGCCCCGGCUAACUACGUGCCAGCAGCCGCGGUAAUACGUAGGGGGCAAGCGUUAUCCGGAUUUACUGGGUGUAAAGGGUGCGUAGGUGGCAGGGCAAGUCAGAUGUGAAAGCCCGGGGCCCAACCCCGGUACUGCAUUUGAAACUGUCCGGCUGGAGUGCAGGAGAGGUAAGCGGAAUUCCUAGUGUAGCGGUGAAAUGCGUAGAUAUUAGGAGGAACACCAGUGGCGAAGGCGGCUUGCUGGACGACGACUGACGUUGAGGCUCGAAAGCGUGGGGAGCAAACAGGAUUAGAUACCCUUGUAC
Molecule: ribosomal RNA, 445 nt
Filed under: uncultured bacterium
Lineage: Bacteria
Description: bacterial SSU rRNA
Rfam family: Bacterial small subunit ribosomal RNA
Source: RNAcentral